This 485-nucleotide ribosomal RNA is filed under the name Alteromonas macleodii. RNAcentral describes it as "bacterial SSU rRNA". It matches the Rfam family "Bacterial small subunit ribosomal RNA", at positions 148 to 635 of the family's 1533-position model. Lineage: Bacteria; Pseudomonadati; Pseudomonadota; Gammaproteobacteria; Alteromonadales; Alteromonadaceae. The record is from RNAcentral.
AGUUGGAAACGACUGCUAAUACCGCAUAAUGUCUUCGGACCAAACGGGGCUUAGGCUCCGGCGCAAAGAGAGGCCCAAGUGAGAUUAGCUAGUUGGUAAGGUAACGGCUUACCAAGGCGACGAUCUCUAGCUGUUCUGAGAGGAAGAUCAGCCACACUGGGACUGAGACACGGCCCAGACUCCUACGGGAGGCAGCAGUGGGGAAUAUUGCACAAUGGGGGAAACCCUGAUGCAGCCAUGCCGCGUGUGUGAAGAAGGCCUUCGGGUUGUAAAGCACUUUCAGUUGUGAGGAAAAGUUAGUAGUUAAUACCUGCUAGCCGUGACGUUAACAACAGAAGAAGCACCGGCUAACUCCGUGCCAGCAGCCGCGGUAAUACGGAGGGUGCGAGCGUUAAUCGGAAUUACUGGGCGUAAAGCGCACGCAGGCGGUUUGUUAAGCUAGAUGUGAAAGCCCCGGGCUCACCUGGGAUGGUCAUUUAGAACUG